UGCUCUCUAUUCCCCAAACGGCUUUCUUGCUUUCAUGUUUCUGCCUUUGCCUGCAAAGGUCUUUCUCUGUGAGCCUCUGGCUGGUGCAGCAUUUCCAAGCCCUUAGGACAUCCACGCGUGCUUUGUGCCUGCCAGCAUGCCAGGUUUUCAUGUGUGCCGUAAACUUCUACCUACCCCAUGGGCACCUCUUGUUCCCUGUCUUUUAGGAUUGCUGUGGUGCUGUUUGAAUAAGAACUUCUAUGAGGGUGCUUCAAAGGCUUCAUGGAAAAAGAUGAAAGUUCUUUGGAGGUAGAGAAAUUCACAGUGACCUGGAACACAGCAUUAUCAGUCCUGAGGUCAUUCCCCUGCUUGGACCUUCACAAACGGAAUUUCUUCCUAGAAGUCUAACCUGAAGUAUACUUCUAAAGAAAAGAAGGUCUACAUGUUCAAGAACUUCACUGCAACAUCAUUGGCAAUUGUGAAAUAUUGGAAAAGAUCUAAAUGUCCAUAUGUGGAAGAAAGACUAAAGAAGCAAUUGUUCUUCCACGCAUGGAUUCCUACGUAUCUGUCAAAAAAGGAAUGAGGAAAGUCUAUAAACCAACAAGUAGUGAUUUUCUAGGAUAUAUUAUUAAGUGAGCAAUAGCCAAAUAAAAGUAUAUUGAUAGUAUGCUGUUUAUUUAAGAAAAAGUGGGAUAUUAAAACCAUAUGCAUGUAUAUGCUCAUUUAUGCAUAAGUAAGACAAAAAUAAUAAAUCACAAGAAAAUGAGAUCAUCUACAGAAGAUGGAAGAAACCAGAAUGGCAAAACAAGAGAAUAAGAAGAGUAGAGUGGGCAAUGUAAGAGUAGCCUUUCCCUGAAUACACCUUACUAUGUAGUCUGACAUGUAGAAUGAAAAGAAUAUUCCACAUCAUACACCCACAAUGCACUAAAUUCACUCAGGCUGCUGGGGGAACCAAAAAUAU
Ochotona princeps (American pika) is the source of this 940-nucleotide long non-coding RNA. RefSeq lists it as uncharacterized. NCBI's taxonomy places the organism in Eukaryota, Metazoa, Chordata, Mammalia, Lagomorpha, Ochotonidae. The transcript is spliced from 3 exons. The record is from RefSeq and is a predicted model, not a curated record.